AAAGAAGUAGGUAGCUUAACCUUCGGGAGGGCGCUUACCACUUUGUGAUUCAUGACUGGGGUGAAGUCGUAACAAGGUAACCGUAGGGGAACCUGCGGUUGGAUCACCUCCUUACCUGAAAGA
Molecule: ribosomal RNA, 123 nt
Filed under: Siccibacter turicensis
Lineage: Bacteria; Pseudomonadati; Pseudomonadota; Gammaproteobacteria; Enterobacterales; Enterobacteriaceae
Description: partial 16S ribosomal RNA
Rfam family: Bacterial small subunit ribosomal RNA
Source: RNAcentral